UGACAAUUACGCCAAACCAAGUGUGAGCUAGGGACGGAAAGUUACAGAUCUUUAACGCGUACCACUCUAAAGAUGGCUGAGCUGCAUUC
RNAcentral lists this non-coding RNA (89 nucleotides) under Cycloclasticus sp. Its description in RNAcentral is "c-di-GMP sequence". It matches the Rfam family "c-di-GMP-I riboswitch aptamer". Rfam says of the family: GEMM was predicted in a large-scale screen for bacterial structured RNA regulatory elements. Lineage: Bacteria; Pseudomonadati; Pseudomonadota; Gammaproteobacteria; Thiotrichales; Piscirickettsiaceae. The record is from RNAcentral.